GCCUGGCUGGCUCAGUCGGAAGAGUGUGUGACUCUUGAUCUCAGGGUCAUGGGUUUGAGCCCCAUGGUGGGUA
This 73-nucleotide transfer RNA is filed under the name Felis catus (domestic cat). It matches the Rfam family "tRNA". From Rfam's summary of the family: Transfer RNA (tRNA) molecules are approximately 80 nucleotides in length. Their secondary structure includes four short double-helical elements and three loops (D, anti-codon, and T loops). Lineage: Eukaryota; Metazoa; Chordata; Mammalia; Carnivora; Felidae. RNAcentral also lists the same sequence under 3 other names. The record is from Rfam by way of RNAcentral.